UUAAAGAAACAAUUAAAAAAGCUUCUAACUUUUUAUAAAGCAUUAAUUUGUUUAU
RNAcentral lists this transfer RNA (55 nucleotides) under Metriorrhynchus sp. UPOL 000170. RNAcentral describes it as "partial tRNA-Ser". Lineage: Eukaryota; Metazoa; Arthropoda; Insecta; Coleoptera; Lycidae. The record is from RNAcentral.